UCCGAGUUGACCCCGGCAGUCUCCUGCGAGUCCCCGCCAUUACGCGCUGGCAACACAGGACAAGGGUUGCGCUCGUUGCGGGACUUAACCCAACAUCUCACGACACGAGCUGACGACAGCCAUGCACCACCUGUGCACGAGCUCCGAAGAGCCCCGCAGGUUUCCCCACGAGUUCCCGUGCAUGUCAAGCCCAGGUAAGGUUCUUCGCGUUGCGUCGAAUUAAACCACAUGCUCCACCGCUUGUGCGGGCCCCCGUCAAUUCCUUUGAGUUUCAGCCUUGCGGCCGUACUCCCCAGGCGGGGCACUUAAUGCGUUAACGACGGCACCGCAGGGGUCAAUACCCGCGACACCUAGCACUCAACGUUUACGGCGUGGACUAC
This 380-nucleotide unclassified non-coding RNA is filed under the name uncultured bacterium. Its description in RNAcentral is "contains 16S-23S intergenic spacer region". The record is from RNAcentral.